Molecule: long non-coding RNA, 1812 nt
Organism: Gasterosteus aculeatus aculeatus (three-spined stickleback)
Lineage: Eukaryota; Metazoa; Chordata; Actinopteri; Perciformes; Gasterosteidae
Source: Ensembl
CAGUUCCUCCUCGGUCUCCUGCUCCUCUGUGGGGGUGAACUCUUACUCUGCAGGAUCUCUUUCUCUUACCUUUAUAGAGAGAAACAUGAAACGAACCGAAACUUUGUUAGUAAAUGUUAUUUCAUUCGUAACUUUGCAAAAGGAUUCUGAUGAACUUCACAGACUGAGGAGUUUACUUGUUGAAGAGCUUCAGUUCACAUCACUCAAGACGUCCAAGGUAAAGAGAGAAUGACUCAAUGUUUGUGUGAUUAUAUUAACAUUUAUUACGUGAGGAUUCAUGGAUUACACAAGAUAUUUACAGAAUUAAACUGAAAAGGGAUGCAAUUCAUUGAUUAGGGUUCAGGAUGUAACCUGGGUUAGGGCUCAAGUUAUUACCCACGAGUUACUGCAAUGUGGUCAAACAGGACAACCAGUGAACGCAGGAGAGUAAAAAAAGGUAAACAAAAGACGGCACACGUGUGUUCAGACUGUCGUACAUAAAAACAUACGACACAAAAAAAGUCAGUGUAAACUUCCCGGAUGGUCCAUAAAAGAGUGUAAUCAUCACAAACCGAGGCAGAAUACCACUUCAAACAAAUCAAUCAAUUCACAGCAACAUAAAAAGACUAAAAACCACAAAAUAGAAAUGCACAAGCAGGAUGGCUGCUCUAUCACUGUGUCACAGCAGAAAGACACAAGAAAAGCAAACAUAACAUAAUAACACAUGCUAGUGACUUAUUAACAAGUCUACCAUAUAAGAGGUAAGAGCCUCUUCUCCUCUGUCUCCUCUCACAGGGAGGAGAUGAUCUGCAGCAUCCUGGUGAUCUUCAUCCUGACCUCCUGUGUCUGUGCAGGGUCAUUUGUAGUGAAUGUGACACAGAGCUGGUAUCAUGCAGAGGAGAACCACAACAUCUCACUGGAAUGGAUGUUCCCCACCAGCACGGACCCCUCCCCCAACGUCCUUCAUGUCUACUGUGUGAUGUUAGCUGAUGAGAGACCCUCACUCAUGUUUCAUCUGUAUGAAGGUGUCGAGGUCCCACAGAUUCAGGAUGAACGCUUUACAGGACGACUCCAGUGGGACAAAGACGUCCUCAGAGAAGGACGACUCAGACUUCACAUCUCCAGACUCCAGACUAAUGACUCGGGGCUGUACUGGUGUCAAGUGCUCACAAGUUAUGGGAAGAACUAUAAGGAAUGUCACCUCAAUGUCACUGCAGUGAAGGAUCGACCCGAACCUGAGACAUCGAGUGACACCAGACUGAGAAGAGAUCCUCGGGGAAGGAUCGGCCUCUACUGUGCACUGGGACUGACAGCAGCUCUACUGGUUCCUUUAUUUUAUCUCUGCUUUGCAAACAAGACCAGUGAUCAGCAGAACAAACGAUAACCCAGCAUUGCUCCUGUAGCUGUGACCACAGAGUGAGAAUGGAGUGAAUAUUAGUUACUGACGGCAGGAAGCUGCUCAUCAGUGUGAGAGUGGUUGAAUGAUGUGUGUGUGUGUGUAUAUAUAUAUAUAUAUUUAUAUUUAUAUUUAUAUACCGGUUUAAUUUUUGUGUUCUCUGACUGAGAUUCAAAGGAAAUCCACAGUCUUUACAGACUGAAGUUUUUUUUUGUUCUAGACCUUCAGCUCCUCUAACAGAGACUCUGACUACUGAACAUAUUCUGCAUUAAGCAUCGUGCUGCUCGUCAUCAAAGACUAAUGUUUAUUCUGGUUCCUGAUCAUAAAGAAAAGGAGAAGCCAUAAAGCCUGUAUGAAGAGAAAUAGAUCCUCACGCUGCCUCAAUAUUGCAUUUUGCACAUAAUGCGAUUAAUCGUUGUUAACCACAGAAAAAUAAU